GGCUCAGGAUGAACGCUAGCUACAGGCUUAACACAUGCAAGUCGAGGGGCAGCGCAGUGUAGCAAUACAUGGGCGGCGACCGGCGCACGGGUGCGUAACGCGUAUCCAACCUUCCCGUUACUCAGGGAUAGCCUUCCGAAAGGGAGAUUAAUACCUGAUGGUGUUCAAAUUCCGCAUGUUAUUUGAACUAAAGAUUUAUCGGUAACGGAUGGGGAUGCGUUUCAUUAGGUAGUAGGCGGGGUAACGGCCCACCUAGCCGACGAUGAAUAGGGGUUCUGAGAGGAAGGUCCCCCACACUGGAACUGAGACACGGUCCAGACUCCUACGGGAGGCAGCAGUGAGGAAUAUUGGUCAAUGGGCGCAAGCCUGAACCAGCCAUGCCGCGUGCAGGAAGAAUGUCUUAUGGAUUGUAAACUGCUUUUGUAUGGGAAUAAUAAUAGCUUUGCGAAGUUAGAUGCAUGUACCAUACGAAUAAGGAUCGGCUAACUCCGUG
Molecule: ribosomal RNA, 493 nt
Filed under: uncultured bacterium
Lineage: Bacteria
Description: bacterial SSU rRNA
Rfam family: Bacterial small subunit ribosomal RNA
Source: RNAcentral